UCUAAAAAUUUCACAACCUAUUUCUAACCCAUAAAUUAUACUGAAUGAUCUCAUAACCAUAUGAGAGCCUAUAUGUUAGAACUAGUAACAAGAAGACAACCCUUCUCCAAAAUGUAAGCGAUAAGCCAAAAUGAACAAUUCAUUGGCACUUAAAGUUAAUAAAUCACCAGUAGCAACUCAACAAGAAAACUCUACUAACUGCAACGUCAACCUUACACUAGUACAUUUCUGGAAAGAUUAAAAGAAUGGGAAGGAACUCGGCAAACUAUUAACCCCGCCUGUUUACCAAAAACAUCGCCUCUUGCCACCCAUAAGAGGUCCAGCCUGCCCAGUGACCAAGUUAAACGGCCGCGGUACCCUAACCGUGCAAAGGUAGCGCAAUCACUUGUUCUUUAAAUGAGGACUAGUAUGAACGGCAUCACGAGGGUUAUGCUGUCUCCCCACUCUAUUCAGUGAAACUGAUCUCCCCGUGAAGAAGCGGGGAUAAAAAUAUAAGACGAGAAGACCCCAUGGAGCUUUAAACUCAGUAUCAACUGCUUUACAAAUUAACCUAACAUUUAUGCAACUCUGAUUACUAGUUUUCGGUUGGGGUGACCACGGAGUAUAAAACAACCUCCACGACGAAAGGAAGUAACAACCUAAAUCAAGAGUUACAACUCUAAAUAUCAACAAAUUGACUAAAUUGAUCCAAUAAAUUGAUCAACGAACCAAGUUACCCUGGGGAUAACAGCGCAAUCCAUUUCAAGAGCUCAUAUCGACAAAUGGGUUUACGACCUCGAUGUUGGAUCAGGGUACCCCAGUGGCGCAGCCGCUACUAACGGUUCG
RNAcentral lists this ribosomal RNA (825 nucleotides) under Microhyla borneensis (Borneo rice frog). RNAcentral's name for it is "partial 16S rRNA". It matches the Rfam family "Bacterial large subunit ribosomal RNA", at positions 1421 to 2575 of the family's 2925-position model. The record is from RNAcentral. Lineage: Eukaryota; Metazoa; Chordata; Amphibia; Anura; Microhylidae.